UUUGGGAACCACGGCUGUGGCAAGGAGUGUCUAAAACUUCAGCGGGCAUCAGAAUCACCUGGAGGGCUCGCUAAGCACACACUCCUGGGACCACUGCGGAGGUUCUGACUAUGGGGUUCCCUGAAGAAAUGUAUGGCUCUCAAGUUUCCAGGAGGUUCAUACAGUAAAUUUUGAACAUUUGGUGGUGAUGGUGACGUAGGGGUUGUAAAGCAUUUGCACCCACACCAUGUUGACACCAACAUAAGUCGUCUUUGAUCUGUACAAGACACUAUAAUAAAAAAGAAAAUCAUACAAAAAUCCACUCACCAGAGAGUGAAGACAGUUUUACUUAUGAUUGGGAUCCUUGCAGAGGUUAUAGUUCACUCUGGACAUCA
This is a long non-coding RNA of Eptesicus fuscus (big brown bat), 374 nucleotides long. RefSeq lists it as uncharacterized. The transcript has 3 exons. The record is from RefSeq and is a predicted model, not a curated record. NCBI's taxonomy places the organism in Eukaryota, Metazoa, Chordata, Mammalia, Chiroptera, Vespertilionidae.